This is a small nuclear RNA of Sciurus carolinensis (gray squirrel), 107 nucleotides long. NCBI's taxonomy places the organism in Eukaryota, Metazoa, Chordata, Mammalia, Rodentia, Sciuridae. The record is from RefSeq and is a predicted model, not a curated record.
GUGCUCAUGUCAGCAAUACAUACGCUAAAACUAGAACAAUACAGAGAAGAUUAGCAUGACCCCUGGGCAAGGGUGACACGCAAAUUUGUGAAGUGUUCCCUAUUUUU